GAAGAACCUUACCAAGGCUUGACAUGCAUCUCUAAACACGUGAAAGCGUGUGACCCUUCGGGGAAUUUGCACAGGUGCUGCAUGGCCGUCGUCAGCUCGUGUCGUGAGAUGUUGGGUUAAGUCCCGCAACGAGCGCAACCCUUGUGAUUAGUUGCCAGCACGUCAAGGUGGGAACUCUAGUCAGACUGCCCAGAUCAACUGGGAGGAAGGUGGGGACGACGUCAGGUCAGUAUGGCCCUUACGCCUUGGGCUGCACACGUACUACAAUGCCCAGCACAAUGAGAACCGAUGCCGCGAGGUGGAGGAAAUCUGUAAAACUGGGCUCAGUUCGGAUUGGAGGCUGCAACUCGCCUCCAUGAAGUUGGAAUCGCUAGUAAUGGGGCAUCAUCUACGGCCCCGUGAAUACGUUCCCGGGUCUUGUACACACCGA
RNAcentral lists this ribosomal RNA (430 nucleotides) under uncultured Verrucomicrobiaceae bacterium. RNAcentral describes it as "bacterial SSU rRNA". It matches the Rfam family "Bacterial small subunit ribosomal RNA", at positions 963 to 1393 of the family's 1533-position model. The record is from RNAcentral. Lineage: Bacteria; Pseudomonadati; Verrucomicrobiota; Verrucomicrobiia; Verrucomicrobiales; Verrucomicrobiaceae.